This 486-nucleotide ribosomal RNA is filed under the name Fusarium oxysporum. RNAcentral's name for it is "eukaryotic LSU rRNA". The stretch from base 135 to 288 matches the Rfam family "5.8S ribosomal RNA". The record is from RNAcentral. Lineage: Eukaryota; Fungi; Ascomycota; Sordariomycetes; Hypocreales; Nectriaceae.
CCCAAACCCCUGUGAACAUACCACUUGUUGCCUCGGCGGAUCAGCCCGCUCCCGGUAAAACGGGACGGCCCGCCAGAGGACCCCUAAACUCUGUUUCUAUAUGUAACUUCUGAGUAAAACCAUAAAUAAAUCAAAACUUUCAACAACGGAUCUCUUGGUUCUGGCAUCGAUGAAGAACGCAGCAAAAUGCGAUAAGUAAUGUGAAUUGCAGAAUUCAGUGAAUCAUCGAAUCUUUGAACGCACAUUGCGCCCGCCAGUAUUCUGGCGGGCAUGCCUGUUCGAGCGUCAUUUCAACCCUCAAGCACAGCUUGGUGUUGGGACUCGCGUUAAUUCGCGUUCCCCAAAUUGAUUGGCGGUCACGUCGAGCUUCCAUAGCGUAGUAGUAAAACCCUCGUUACUGGUAAUCGUCGCGGCCACGCCGUUAAACCCCAACUUCUGAAUGUUGACCUCGGAUCAGGUAGGAAUACCCGCUGAACUUAAGCAUAU